This is a non-coding RNA of Pogona vitticeps (central bearded dragon), 1242 nucleotides long. Lineage: Eukaryota; Metazoa; Chordata; Lepidosauria; Squamata; Agamidae. The record is from RefSeq and is a predicted model, not a curated record.
UUCCUGGAAGGCAUGUGUUUUACCUCCAUUAGAGGUUAAGACAGCCAUUUUAAAAAUAUUGUAAUAACAGCCUUUUGGGAACAAACAUACUAUUAGAUUGCAAUAAUAUAUAACAAACUGCUUUUGUUGCCAAAAACUUGCCCACAGUAUAUGUGAUGCCACAUGUACAAGAGGUGGUUCCAGUAGCUGAUGGAUUCUUCCAGGCUCAUCGCAGCUAGGAGUGCAUGUUUUGUAUCUGCAGCCAGAGCUGCAUGAUGAGAUGAUGGGAUAUGGCCAGCGGGGAAGGAAGGAAUGUUCCUGACAAUUUAAAAACCAUACCCUAUAAUUAUUUUAAUGGAAAAGAAGGUUCCUACGCUAGUUCAGCUAUGUAGCCACCCAGCCUAAAGACCAGCUGUUUUUGAUGCUGCAUCCUGGCUGUUGGGUGCCCAGUCCUUUCUCUGGUGUAUGCCACCUCCGCCUGUGAUGUGUAAUCAGUGCCCCUUUAUGCACCCAAAAGAGAUGGUGGUUCCAAUCUGUGACCUUUCUAACACAGUGUAUACAAAAGCAAACUAAUUGACAACUUUAACUGCUAGAAGAGUUAUCCGGCAGGAGUAAAAAGCCACCAUCGCAUGUCAGAGCUUCUAAGGGAAGAGUCUUCUGCAACAAAGCAUAAUGUCAGACUCUUUAACAGCUAAGUUUCCAGAACAACCCUGGGGCUCUGGAACAUUUCCACAUGAAGCUUUUCUGAGCCCAGAGGAACCUCUAUAUUGCUGGCUUCUCGUUAUUGGCGGCCUUGAGUUUGAUCUACUUGCUAAGUCCAACUAAAGUACACUCAGUGACAUGUCAACACUUAAAUAACUCCCCUUGAUUCAAUGGAUUUCCUCUGGGAAAGAUAACAAUUGGAUUCGACCCAAGGACAAUUUGAGAACAGCUGAAGAGAUGUCCUCAUGGAUUAUGCACAGGAAACACAAGAAGGUUUCUAGUAUAACAUGGACUGAUGUCUCAAGAGAACAUAGCUCUUAUGUUAUCUUGCUUUAGUUGGUCUGCAUCGUUUACAAUAAACUUAGAAAAUAAUUGCUUAACUUUGAACUGUCUUGUUCUGACUAUGGAGUAAUGUAGGAAAAGGACGACACAGUCAAGAAACAAUUUUUCUUCUUUAUCAAUAUAUGUAAACUGUUUAGAAAAUAAGCUUUUAAAGGUGUGCACCGCAAUAAUGAAACAGCCUAUUCAUACAGUACACAAAAUGGCAAUAAAAUAUUCACA